GACUGCGUACCUUUUGUAUAAUGGGUCAGCGACUUAUAUUCUGUAGCAAGGUUAACCGAAUAGGGGAGCCGAAGGGAAACCGAGUCUUAACUGGGCGUUAAGUUGCAGGGUAUAGACCCGAAACCCGGUGAUCUAGCCAUGGGCAGGUUGAAGGUUGGGUAACACUAACUGGAGGACCGAACCGACUAAUGUUGAAAAAUUAGCGGAUGACUUGUGGCUGGGGGUGAAAGGCCAAUCAAACCGGGAGAUAGCUGGUUCUCCCCGAAAGCUAUUUAGGUAGCGCCUCGUGAAUUCAUCUCCGGGGGUAGAGCACUGUUUCGGCAAGGGGGUCAUCCCGACUUACCAACCCGAUGCAAACUGCGAAUACCGGAGAAUGUUAUCACGGGAGACACACGGCGGGUGCUAACGUCCGUCGUGAAGAGGGAAACAACCCAGACCGCCAGCUAAGGUCCCAAAGUCAUGGUUAAGUGGGAAACGAUGUGGGAAGGCCCAGACAGCCAGGAUGUUGGCUUAGAAGCAGCCAUCAUUUAAAGAAAGCGUAAUAGCUCACUGGUCGAGUCGGCCUGCGCGGAAGAUGUAACGGGGCUAAACCAUGCACCGAAGCUGCGGCAGCGACACUAUGUGUUGUUGGGUAGGGGAGCGUUCUGUAAGCCUGUGAAGGUGUGCUGUGAGGUAUGCUGGAGGUAUCAGAAGUGCGAAUGCUGACAUAAGUAACGAUAAAGCGGGUGAAAAGCCCGCUCGCCGGAAGACCAAGGGUUCCUGUCCAACGUUAAUCGGGGCAGGGUGAGUCGACCCCUAAGGCGAGGCCGAAAGGCGUAGUCGAUGGGAAACAGGUUAAUAUUCCUGUACUUGGUGUUACUGCGAAGGGGGGACGGAGAAGGCUAUGUUGGCCGGGCGACGGUUGUCCCGGUUUAAGCGUGUAGGCUGGUUUUCCAGGCAAAUCCGGAAAAUCAAGGCUGAGGCGUGAUGACGAGGCACUACGGUGCUGAAGCAACAAAUGCCCUGCUUCCAGGAAAAGCCUCUAAGCAUCAGGUAACAUCAAAUCGUACCCCAAACCGACACAGGUGGUCAGGUAGAGAAUACCAAGGCGCUUGAGAGAACUCGGGUGAAGGAACUAGGCAAAAUGGUGCCGUAACUUCGGGAGAAGGCACGCUGAUAUGUAGGUGAAGUCCCUUGCGGAUGGAGCUGAAAUCAGUCGAAGAUACCAGCUGGCUGCAACUGUUUAUUAAAAACACAGCACUGUGCAAACACGAAAGUGGACGUAUACGGUGUGACGCCUGCCCGGUGCCGGAAGGUUAAUUGAUGGGGUUAGCGGUAACGCGAAGCUCUUGAUCGAAGCCCCGGUAAACGGCGGCCGUAACUAUAACGGUCCUAAGGUAGCGAAAUUCCUUGUCGGGUAAGUUCCGACCUGCACGAAUGGCGUAAUGAUGGCCAGGCUGUCUCCACCCGAGACUCAGUGAAAUUGAACUCGCUGUGAAGAUGCAGUGUACCCGCGGCAAGACGGAAAGACCCCGUGAACCUUUACUAUAGCUUGACACUGAACAUUGAGCCUUGAUGUGUAGGAUAGGUGGGAGGCUUUGAAGUGUGGACGCCAGUCUGCAUGGAGCCGACCUUGAAAUACCACCCUUUAAUGUUUGAUGUUCUAACGUUGGCCCCUGAUCGGGGUUGCGGACAGUGUCUGGUGGGUAGUUUGACUGGGGCGGUCUCCUCCUAAAGAGUAACGGAGGAGCACGAAGGUUGGCUAAUCCUGGUCGGACAUCAGGAGGUUAGUGCAAUGGCAUAAGCCAGCUUGACUGCGAGCGUGACGGCGCGAGCAGGUGCGAAAGCAGGUCAUAGUGAUCCGGUGGUUCUGAAUGGAAGGGCCAUCGCUCAACGGAUAAAAGGUACUCCGGGGAUAACAGGCUGAUACCGCCCAAGAGUUCAUAUCGACGGCGGUGUUUGGCACCUCGAUGUCGGCUCAUCACAUCCUGGGGCUGAAGUAGGUCCCAAGGGUAUGGCUGUUCGCCAUUUAAAGUGGUACGCGAGCUGGGUUUAGAACGUCGUGAGACAGUUCGGUCCCUAUCUGCCGUGGGCGCUGGAGAACUGAGGGGGGCUGCUCCUAGUACGAGAGGACCGGAGUGGACGCAUCACUGGUGUUCGGGUUGUCAUGCCAAUGGCACUGCCCGGUAGCUAAAUGCGGAAGAGAUAAGUGCUGAAAGCAUCUAAGCACGAAACUUGCCCCGAGAUGAGUUCU
RNAcentral lists this ribosomal RNA (2233 nucleotides) under Escherichia coli. RNAcentral's name for it is "bacterial LSU rRNA". It matches the Rfam family "Bacterial large subunit ribosomal RNA", at positions 595 to 2812 of the family's 2925-position model. Lineage: Bacteria; Pseudomonadati; Pseudomonadota; Gammaproteobacteria; Enterobacterales; Enterobacteriaceae. The record is from RNAcentral.